This 744-nucleotide ribosomal RNA is filed under the name Arthrobacter sp. yl11. RNAcentral's name for it is "bacterial SSU rRNA". It matches the Rfam family "Bacterial small subunit ribosomal RNA", at positions 68 to 824 of the family's 1533-position model. The record is from RNAcentral. Lineage: Bacteria; Bacillati; Actinomycetota; Actinomycetes; Micrococcales; Micrococcaceae.
GAUGAUCCCCAGCUUGCUGGGGGGAUUAGUGGCGAACGGGUGAGUAACACGUGAGUAACCUGCCCUUGACUCUGGGAUAAGCCUGGGAAACUGGGUCUAAUACUGGAUACGACCUUCCCACGCAUGUGGUGUUGGUGGAAAGCUUUUGUGGUUUUGGAUGGACUCGCGGCCUAUCAGCUUGUUGGUGGGGUAAUGGCCUACCAAGGCGACGACGGGUAGCCGGCCUGAGAGGGUGGACGGCCACACUGGGACUGAGACACGGCCCAGACUCCUACGGGAGGCAGCAGUGGGGAAUAUUGCACAAUGGGCGCAAGCCUGAUGCAGCGACGCCGCGUGAGGGAUGAAGGCCUUCGGGUUGUAAACCUCUUUCAGUAGGGAAGAAGCGAAAGUGACGGUACCUGCAGAAGAAGCGCCGGCUAACUACGUGCCAGCAGCCGCGGUAAUACGUAGGGCGCAAGCGUUAUCCGGAAUUAUUGGGCGUAAAGAGCUCGUAGGCGGUUUGUCGCGUCUGCCGUGAAAGUCCGGGGCUUAACUCCGGAUCUGCGGUGGGUACGGGCAGACUUGAGUGAUGUAGGGGAGACUGGAAUUCCUGGUGUAGCGGUGAAAUGCGCAGAUAUCAGGAGGAACACCGAUGGCGAAGGCAGGUCUCUGGGCAUUAACUGACGCUGAGGAGCGAAAGCAUGGGGAGCGAACAGGAUUAGAUACCCUGGUAGUCCAUGCCGUAAACGUUGGGCACUAGGUGUG